This is a long non-coding RNA of Pan troglodytes (chimpanzee), 2572 nucleotides long. RefSeq lists it as uncharacterized. Lineage: Eukaryota; Metazoa; Chordata; Mammalia; Primates; Hominidae. The record is from RefSeq and is a predicted model, not a curated record. The transcript has 6 exons.
CGUGCGCGGUUCGUGUGUGGGCCCGCGGGGGCGCGCGCAGCUGGGGGGCAGUGAGGGUCGCCUCGGCGGCGAGCAGCACGGCGGGAACAUGGCGCCCGGAACUGGCGCGCGCGCCUAGCUGGCGGGACCGUUAGCUCGAGGCGGACGCAGCCCGGACCCGGUGGAUGUGGAGCAGUCGCCGCUGCCGGCGCCCAAGCCGACCCAAGGGCCGACCCCCGCAAGGAGCUGAAGGAGGUGGGAGCCCCAGUCGCUGCGGGCGUCGGCGCCGUCAAAGAAGAUGGCCACAGAGACAGCAGUGUGGUCAGAGUGGUAGGAGCUGGCCAUCGGCGAGAGCUGCUCCAUGUCUGGCUGCUGGGUGCUAGAGGCUGUGGCCCACUGGCUUGCCUCACUGUGGUUGGUGGUGGCGGUGACAGAGACUGCAGCACGACCACAGUGGCUUUUCUGGCUUUGCCCACCCAGCUGCUCCAUGCCAGGAGGAGGAGGAGACACCUAGAGCCUGCGACACCACGACUUGCCUCACUGCGGGUGGGUGGCAGCGACAGAGACUGCAGUGCGCCAGAGCGUUCUAGAGUGUAUGAAGAACCAAAUGAUGUAACUGUAUGCGACCUGGCUGUAGUGGAACAAAUUUGACUCUUAAGUAUGCAGGCUCUAAUUUUCCUGUCUGGUUUUGUCUAGGGAGAUGACUCAUCAGAAAAAGAAGAAAAAAGAGGCAUUUGGAAAUUGUGCAAAUUAAAGCAGCCCCUGAUGCCAAAGUCUACACAUUCCUGAGUGAGUCAGUUCUGGCCAGUUCUAGCUGGAUCAAGAGAGCUCUGCUGGGCAAGCCUGAAGAGCACCUGGAUGGCAGACACCUGAGGAGCCAGGUGCCUGAAACUUCCUCCACCUGCUUGAGGAGCGCUGAAGCCCAGGUGCUGGCUGGACAACCCCUUCUGGUUGCCUAAGCAGGUGGCAGGAGAAGGAAACAAGGUCAGAGGCAGAGUGUUGAACCCUGCCUCCCAGCCCCCACAUCACCCAACCAACCAGCAGAGAUCCUCAUUCCCAUGAAACAGAUAAAGAAACUGAGGCCCAGGGAGGCUAAGUCCUGCCAGGAUCAUUCACCUUCCAAGGUAAGGAGCCAGUUCCAGACCUGGGUUUGUGCAGCUCCAAGCUCCCCCGUCUUUCUACAAUGCUAGAUUUAGACUAUAGCAAUCUAGCAAGUGUGGCCACACAAUGGUCAAGUUGGAUUUAGAUGAUGUUCUCUAUAAAUCCAUUCUCCUCUCCCGUGUAAGCAAGGCAAAGCACUCUAGGCCAUGGGGAGUCCCUGAAGACUCGAUGAACUGCAGUGGCCACAUCAGGAGGUUGCAGGUUGACCAGAACUCACCGACACAGCAGGAGAGCAGCUUGGAACCUGCAACUCAGCCAAGACCCAGUGCCUUGGAUUGGGGGAGAAAACAUGCAGCCAUUCCUCUCUCUCUGUUGGCUAGAGGGGAUUCUGGCUUUUCCUGCCAGAGCCACCCCUUUCCCUCCUCCUAAAGUUGAUGGUGGUUCUUUAAGGAAAGGGAGAAGUGCACGGUGUGAUAGGGCAGGAAGAGAAGAAAACGGAGGAGAGGAGGGGACUUUCCCAUAAGCAGGCAGAAGAAAAGGCAGCUGUGGUGUGUGAUGGACAUGGAAGCAGUGGUGUCCAAUGUGAGGUCAGCCCUAGAGGAGAGACAGAGAGAGAGACAGAAAAGUGAGAGAGUCCUGACCCUUACGAUUAACAUGGGAUCUGCCUGCAAAUGCUGUUUAGGGCCAUCGCCUCUUCCUGUACUGCUAUUUUUUAGAGUGAUGCUCCUGAGCCCCAUGACCCAGUCAAAUUUGAUGACCCCUUCAGCCAGAUUCAGUGCUGGGAGUCCAGUGUGAUCUGCCUGGAUCUUGCUGCAUUGAGAACAGGCCAGAUCUUGACACCAACACAGGGGCUGGAUAUGAACAGGCAACAGCUGGGUUUCUGAGUCAGAAAGACUUGGUUAAUUGCUAAUUGCUUAGGCGAGUAAUUCAAUUUUGUUCAGUCAGGUUCCUCAGCUAUAAAAUGCAGAUGACAGUACUUAUUCCUCCAGGUUGUGGGGAAAAUGGAGAUUCUGAGCACGAUGUCCAUUUCACAGAAAGGUACCAAUUUGGUGGCUUAUUUUCCUUUCUACCUUCAGAAGUGGCUAUCCCUGCCACCCAAACAGACCCUCGACUCUCAAGUGGAUGGGGUCCCAUUUGCACAGGGGGAGAGCUAACAGCCUACGUUGAGUCUAUACUUACCACUUAGUGAGCAUGGUAUCCACUCAGGGGCCUCUGUGGGCAUCCGUCUCCUCUGCGGCAUCUUUCCUCCCCACCGCUGGGCCUGCACAUGACCCCCUCCUUGGGUUAGGCCUCUGAUCAGUGAUGACCUUGGUAUGGUGGUGAUGGUCAUUCUUGGCACCAAAUGAGCCAGUUAUAUCAUCAGCUAUUCAAUAAAACACUAAUCUAGGUGUCACCAUGAAAGUAUUUUGUGACAUUGUUAUGUACGUGUUGUUACAAAUGUGCAUGAUGCAUUUACUACAGCAUAGAAUUUUGCCUGGGUGCCAGCCUGAAG